RNAcentral lists this ribosomal RNA (449 nucleotides) under uncultured bacterium. Its description in RNAcentral is "partial 16S ribosomal RNA". It matches the Rfam family "Bacterial small subunit ribosomal RNA", at positions 29 to 523 of the family's 1533-position model. The record is from RNAcentral.
AACGAACGCUGGCGGCAGGCUUAACACAUGCAAGUCGAGCGCAUCCUUCGGGGUGAGCGGCAGACGGGUGAGUAACGCGUGGGAACGUACCCUUUCCUACGGAAUAGCUCCGGGAAACUGGAAUUAAUACCGUAUACGCCCUUAGGGGGAAAGAUUUAUCGGGGAAGGAUCGGCCCGCGUUGGAUUAGCUAGUUGGUGGGGUAAAGGCCUACCAAGGCGACGAUCCAUAGCUGGUCUGAGAGGAUGAUCAGCCACAUUGGGACUGAGACACGGCCCAAACUCCUACGGGAGGCAGCAGUGGAGAAUAUUGGACAAUGGGCGCAAGCCUGAUCCAGCCAUGCCGCGUGAGUGAUGAAGGCCUUAGGGUUGUAAAGCUCUUUCAGUAGGGAAGAUAAUGACGGUACCUACAGAAGAAGCCCCGGCUAACUUCGUGCCAGCAGCCGCCGCCG